AGGACGAACGCUGGCGGCGUGCUUAACACAUGCAAGUCGAGCGGAAAGGCCCUUCGGGGUACUCGAGCGGCGAACGGGUGAGUAACACGUGAGUAAUCUGCCCCUAGCUCUGGGAUAGCUCCGGGAAACCGGGAUUAAUACCAGAUACGACCACUUUAGACAUCUGUCGUGGUGGAAAGGAUUCCGGCUAGGGAUGGGCUCGCGGCCUAUCAGCUUGUGGUGGGUAACGGCCUACCAAGGCGACGACGGGUA
This 252-nucleotide ribosomal RNA is filed under the name uncultured bacterium. RNAcentral describes it as "partial small subunit ribosomal RNA". It matches the Rfam family "Bacterial small subunit ribosomal RNA", at positions 26 to 285 of the family's 1533-position model. The record is from RNAcentral.